Molecule: small nuclear RNA, 104 nt
Filed under: Pseudonaja textilis
Lineage: Eukaryota; Metazoa; Chordata; Lepidosauria; Squamata; Elapidae
Source: RNAcentral
UAUAUCUAUAUAUAUAAAAUACUAAAAGUGGAAUGAUACAGAGAAGAUUGCAUGCCCCCUGUGCAAAGGAUGAUACGCAAAAUCAUGAAGCGUUAAGGGUUAGG